UACAGAGGUGCCAAGCGUUAGGCGGAAUCACUGGGCUUAAAGCGCGCGUAGGUGGCUUCGUAAGUCCGUUGUGAAAGUCAAAGGCUCAACCUUUGAAAGCCGAUGGAUACUGUGAAGCUAGAGUACGGAAGAGGCGAGUGGAAUUCCUGGUGUAGCGGUGGAAUGCGCAGAUAUCAGGAGGAACACCAAUAGCGAAGGCAGCUCGCUGGGACGUUACUGACACUGAGGCGCGAAAGCGUGGGGAGCGAACAGG
RNAcentral lists this ribosomal RNA (253 nucleotides) under uncultured bacterium. Its description in RNAcentral is "partial 16S ribosomal RNA". It matches the Rfam family "Bacterial small subunit ribosomal RNA", at positions 524 to 776 of the family's 1533-position model. The record is from RNAcentral.